RNAcentral lists this ribosomal RNA (436 nucleotides) under uncultured bacterium. RNAcentral describes it as "partial 16S ribosomal RNA". It matches the Rfam family "Bacterial small subunit ribosomal RNA", at positions 29 to 507 of the family's 1533-position model. The record is from RNAcentral.
AGCGAACGCUGGCGGCAGGCUUAACACAUGCAAGUCGAGCGGGCCUCCCUGUGGUGUCAGCGGCAGACGGGUGAGUAACGCGUGGGAACGUGCUCUUCGGUUAGGAAUAACUCAGGGAAACUUGAGCUAAUACCGGAUAUGCCCUUUUGGGGAAAGGUUUACUGCCGAAGGAUCGGCCCGCGUCUGAUUAGCUAGUUGGUGAGGUUACGGCUCACCAAGGCGACGAUCAGUAGCUGGUCUGAGAGGAUGAUCAGCCACACUGGGACUGAGACACGGCCCAGACUCCUACGGGAGGCAGCAGUGGGGAAUAUUGGACAAUGGGGGCAAGCCUGAUCCAGCCAUGCCGCGUGAGUGAUGACAGCCUUAGGGUUGUAAAGCUCUUUUCUCCGGGACGAUAAUGACGGUACCGGAGGAAUAAGCCCCGGCUAACUUCGUG